UCCCUUUUGUUCUUCUCAAACAGCAGUACAAUACGCGUACAAGAGAAGCAAAAACCAGCUUCAACAUCGCAAACUUCAACAACCAUCAACACAACCAGCGAAGACCCGAACCUAUCAACCUGUUUUCAGCCAAAAAACCCAAAUACAUCCUUUCCCCUUCAAUUUAUGCGGAUUGUGUGACCUCUAUGUGAGUUCGUACAUCGAAUAACCUCGAAUCUUCUAGAAACGCACCUACGUGUCUUCUACAAUGGUUCAAUCCCACAUUUCUCGGAUAAGAUUAUACGAUUUCGUAUAAUAGUUGGUAGAUUUUCAUUGGUUCUUGAAGGGAACUAGGGGAGGGUUCGAAAAUUGGGGGAUUUUUUUUGGGAGGUCACUUUUUUUUAGGGGAAAAAUUUUAGUUGAGGAAAAGGCGAAAAAUUUGAUAGAGAUUUUGGGGUUCAAAAAUUCCUUAGAAGUUUUGAGGGAUUUUUCGCUGAGGUUCGAAAAUUUUUUGAGGGUGUUUCGGAUUCAAGUAGCUGAGGGGUUAGGAACUUUUCUGUCGAUUAAUUGGAGGCUUUUGAGUUGAUAUCAAUGAUUUCUGGUGGUGUUGGAAUCCGACAACUAGCUCGUCGUCCUGUUUUGCUGCCCCAAAAGAGGCCAAUGAGGAGGCCUAUCUUUCGAGUGAAUUCUUAGAGAAAGCUUGAAUAUCAACCCUUGGGUACUGGGUGCAAGGAGCUGAAAGAAGAAAGUGCGUUAAAGUUCCACUUUGAAGUGGCUACGAGACAAAAUUCUCAUUUAUUAUUUCAUUUUAUAUAUUUAUUGCCGUCUUUUAUUUAUUUAUUUAUUUAUUUAUUCAUUCAUUUGGGCCUCGAAGCCAAAACUAUAAAUUUAAUAUAGGUGGAUCGUGACUCGAGCCAAAGGCUCGAAAACUAGAGUAGGACAGAUGAAACGGGUCAAAGGCCCAAUUAGAUUAGGACAGUUUUUGUUGGUUUGGGCCCAAUGGCCUAAAUCGUGUACUUUCUCCUCCCUUUUCCCAUUUAUGUGUUUACUUGCUUAUUUCA
This is a long non-coding RNA of Capsicum annuum, 1040 nucleotides long. RefSeq lists it as uncharacterized. The transcript is spliced from 2 exons. NCBI's taxonomy places the organism in Eukaryota, Viridiplantae, Streptophyta, Magnoliopsida, Solanales, Solanaceae. The record is from RefSeq and is a predicted model, not a curated record.